AUGUUGGGGCUGGUGUCUUGGCCUGGACCAACCUGCCUGAGCCCAGCAUUCCCACCCACUGCUGCGAACAGCCAUGGGGUUUGUGUCAGUGCCCUGGUUCCCUUCCUGGCGUCAGUCCCCAGCACAGAGGUGACACUGGGGUGUGAGUGUACAGCCAGGAGGAUCAGUGGGGCUUUCCGGGGUGGUGCCACUGUUUGCAUUGCCAAGGCAAAGUUUUCUUCUUCUUUUUCUUUUUCUUUUCUUUUUCUUUUUCUUUUUCUUUUUCUUUUUCUUUUUCUUUUUCUUUUUCUUUUUCUUUUUCUUUUUCUUUUUCUUUUUCUUUUUCUUUUUCCUUUUCUUUUUCCUUUUCUUUUUCUUUUUUUCUUUUUCAUUCUUCACUUUUCCUUUUCCUCUUUCUCUUUCUCUUUUUCUUUUUUUUUCUUUUUCUUCUUCACUUUUCAUUUUCCUCUUUCUCUUUCUCUUUCUCUUUCUCUUUCUCUUUCUCUUUCUCUUUCUCUUUCUCUUUCUCUAUCUCUAUCUCUAUCUCUAUCUCUUUCUUUUCCUUUCUUUCCUUCUUUCCUUCUUUUUCCUUCUCUCUCUCUUUCUUUCUUUCUGUUUCCUUUUCUCUCUCUCUCUCUUUCUUCCUUUCCUUUUUUCCUUCUUUUUCGUCUUUCUCCCUGUUCCUUUUCUUCCUCCCUUUCUCAUCUUUCUCUCUCCCCUCUGCCACUGUCCCACAUCUGCCCGUUGUUCCUUCUCCAUUCCCUUUCCCUCUCACCCUUCCUUCCUCUUUCUCUCUCCCUCUCUCCCCCCAUCUCCCUCUGCUUCUCCUUUCCCCCCUCUCCUCUCUUCCUCCCCAUCCCUCGCCCUCCGGCUCCUCUCCCGCAGCACAGCUCCGGCUCCCACGGGCAGCCGGUGCCGGUGCGGUGCUGGACGGGCGGUGCAGAGCCCCCGGUGCCCCCUGGGGGGCAGCACACGCCGCGCAGUGCUCCCGCCGGGCAGGUGAGCGCCCGCCGGCACCGGGCAGCGCCGAGCACCGGCACCGGGCAGCGCCGGCACCGGGCGGCGGGGCCGGGCCGGGGGGAGCCGGGCUGGGAAAAUUCCCCGACGGGAGGCACCGACGGGGCUGAGGCUCUCGGCUCCGGGACAAAAAGGCAAAGAAAAACCGGCAGCAAAACCGGGGGGCCGCUGAACUCGGGCAAACGGCGCUACCGGAGCCCCGGAGGGGGGAGAAAAGAAAAAAAGGCCAUGCCCGGGGGGCGAGUGCUUGCCCCUGCCUGGUGCCUGCAGGGAUUCCUCUCUGCUCUCCUCUUUCGGAAGCAUUUUUUUUCAUAA
RNAcentral lists this long non-coding RNA (1311 nucleotides) under Anas zonorhyncha (Eastern spot-billed duck). Its description in RNAcentral is "lncRNA (ENSAZOG00000013560.1)". The record is from RNAcentral. Lineage: Eukaryota; Metazoa; Chordata; Aves; Anseriformes; Anatidae.